UUAUACAUGCAUUUGUAUCUAUGUGUAUGUGUAUUUGUAUGUGUAUGUGUAUAAAUUUUGGCUUUGAAUGUGAUCGAGCCGUACAGUGCAAUGUGUUUCAAAUAGUAACAAAAUUCUUUAUAUAUAUAUAUAUUUUAUUAUUAUUUGAACCGCAUCAUAUUUUAUCCGCAGUUGAACAGUAUAUCUUUAUUCGGAAUCUUUAAAUUCGACCUAAUAUCGUUUAAAAGGUUAAC
This 233-nucleotide small RNA is filed under the name Arabidopsis thaliana (thale cress). RNAcentral's name for it is "ATSL246180". The record is from RNAcentral. Lineage: Eukaryota; Viridiplantae; Streptophyta; Magnoliopsida; Brassicales; Brassicaceae.